Molecule: ribosomal RNA, 472 nt
Filed under: uncultured bacterium
Lineage: Bacteria
Description: SSU rRNA
Rfam family: Bacterial small subunit ribosomal RNA
Source: RNAcentral
AGGACGAACGCUGGCGGCGUGCUUAACACAUGCAAGUCGAGCGGAAAGGCCCUUCGGGGUACUCGAGCGGCGAACGGGUGAGUAACACGUGAGUAAUCUGCCCCUAGCUCUGGGAUAGCUCCGGGAAACCGGGAUUAAUACCAGAUACGACCACUUUAGACAUCUGUUGUGGUGGAAAGAAUUUUGGCUAGGGAUGAGCUCGCGGCCUAUCAGCUUGUUGGUGAGGUAACGGCUCACCAAGGCGACGACGGGUAGCCGGCCUGAGAGGGCGACCGGCCACACUGGGACUGAGACACGGCCCAGACUCCUACGGGAGGCAGCAGUGGGGAAUAUUGCGCAAUGGGCGAAAGCCUGACGCAGCGACGCCGCGUGGGGGAUGAAGGCCUUCGGGUUGUAACCCCUUCAGCAGGGACGAAGCGAAAGUGACGGUACCUGCAGAAGAAGCGCCGGCUAACUACGUGCCAGCAGCCGC